Molecule: small RNA, 62 nt
Organism: Calothrix sp. PCC 7507
Lineage: Bacteria; Bacillati; Cyanobacteriota; Cyanophyceae; Nostocales; Calotrichaceae
Rfam family: Nitrogen stress-induced RNA 1
Source: Rfam
UGGUAGAUGCACCCUGAUAACUAACUCCCCUGGUAGGACAACUCCUACUAGGGUUUUUUAAU